Molecule: long non-coding RNA, 919 nt
Organism: Neopsephotus bourkii (Bourke's parrot)
Lineage: Eukaryota; Metazoa; Chordata; Aves; Psittaciformes; Psittacidae
Exons: 3
Source: RefSeq, a predicted model, not a curated record
GCUGGAGCUGGAGGAGCUCUUACCACUGGGAGUGCUGGGAGGGAGCAGAGCACAGCUCAUACCCCACACUGCAUGGGCUGAGCCUCCCCCUCCUGCUACUGCUGCUGGGACUCUUGGAGACACCUUAACCUGCUAUUCCCUGGCAAAGACGCUAACAACAAGCUUGUCUCUGGCAUUGUGAUGCUGGGCAGCUGAGUAUGCCAACUGAGGUGAAAGAACAGACCCUAAUGAACAGCUGAGACUGUUACACAGUGUAGUAACUUGGUCUUCCUCCUGAUCAACCUGACAACCCUUCCUUCAAGACUGAGCACGUCUCUGCGGGUGAUGGGAGGAAUAAAAAGAAGAAUCAGAGCACUAAUAGUUGUAAACCUGACUUGGCACUGUUCAAAACCACAACCAAUCUGCCGCUGUGAAACAUGCCCCCAUAUAUAUACAGAAAGGUGAGAAGCUACUCUGUGAAGACCUCAAUCCCAGCUUCACAAAGUAAAUUUUCAUGUGUCUGGAUUGAAACGGUUCAAACGAUGGCAAUGAAUUUUCAAUUCCUAAACUGGAUUUGUGAAGUGACAAAACAUGAAAUUCUUUGAGCAGCUCUGUCCUGCAUGGCAAGCUAUAGCUGUAUGUUAGUGCUCUCUAAUCAAACCUUAUGCUGCUCCCUCACAAAACAACCUUACAGAAAGAGGAUGUAUGAUUCAUGUUCCACAAAUCCAGAUCGCUACAGCAACAAGUGAUCUGAAGUUGAAAAAGAAUUCCAGACUCUCGUAUUUAUGUCUGUGUCCCAUGUAUGACGUGAGUCAGAAAACCCAGACACAGAUCUGGACCGAUUAGCACUUAAAUUAAUAAAGAACGUAGAAAAAGAGCUGUGCCUAAAACAUAGCAUCACAGAAUGGUUUGGGUCGGAAAGGACCUUCAGCUCAUCCAG